Molecule: ribosomal RNA, 419 nt
Filed under: uncultured bacterium
Lineage: Bacteria
Description: bacterial SSU rRNA
Rfam family: Bacterial small subunit ribosomal RNA
Source: RNAcentral
GGAAUAUUGGUCAAUGGCCGAGAGGCUGAACCAGCCAAGUAGCGUGCAGGAUGACUGCCUUACAGGUUGUAAACUGCUUUUAUGCAAGAGUAAAGUGAGCUACGUGUAGUUUAUUGCAAGUAUUGCAUGAAUAAGGACCGGCUAAUUCCGUGCCAGCAGCCGCGGUAAUACGGAAGGUUCGGGCGUUAUCCGGAUUUAUUGGGUUUAAAGGGAGCGUAGGCUGAUUUUUAAGCGAGCUGUGAAAGUUCGGGGCUCAACCUCGGAAUUGCAGUUCGAACUGGAAGUCUUGAGUAGGUGCAACGUUGCUGGAAUUCGUGGUGUAGCGGUGAAAUGCUUAGAUAUCACGAAGAACUCCGAUUGCGAAGGCAGGUGACGGGUGCUUUACUGACGCUGAGGCUCGAAAGUGCGGGUAUCAAACA